CUUAAUUUGACUCAACGCGGGGAAUCUCACCAGGCCCGGACACUGGAAGGAUUGACAGAUUGAGAGCUCUUUCUUGAUUCAGUGGGUGGUGGUGCAUGGCCGUUCUUAGUUGGUGGAGCGAUUUGUCUGGUUAAUUCCGAUAACGAACGAGACUCUAGCCUGCUAAAUAGACGAUGGAUCCUAGUGGUGGAUCGCUCUUCUUAGAGGGACAAGUGGCGUCUAGCCAUAUGAGAGUGAGCAAUAA
RNAcentral lists this ribosomal RNA (244 nucleotides) under uncultured marine eukaryote. Its description in RNAcentral is "partial 18S ribosomal RNA". It matches the Rfam family "Eukaryotic small subunit ribosomal RNA", at positions 1189 to 1456 of the family's 1831-position model. The record is from RNAcentral.